RNAcentral lists this long non-coding RNA (971 nucleotides) under Ananas comosus (pineapple). RNAcentral's name for it is "long non-coding RNA (ACOM_LNC012964)". The record is from RNAcentral. Lineage: Eukaryota; Viridiplantae; Streptophyta; Magnoliopsida; Poales; Bromeliaceae.
AUCUAAAUGAAAAAAAAACCAAAAAACUAUGCAGAUAAUAAUUGUAGGGCUUUUUUUUACAUUUGACCCUCUCAAAAUAUUUUUCUUUACAAAUAACCCCCAUCAAAUUUAUAAUUACAAAUUUGGCUCUAUCUCCGCCACGUGGGCGCCACAUCAGGGGCAUGGUGUUAAGUUGAACACGGUGAAUGGUUCACCGUGUUUUAUACAUAUAUUCCCCUUCUUUCCCCUUUUCAAUAUUUAUAAUUUUUCGCAAUACAAUACAUAUAUACUAUAUUUUUUCCAAACACGGUGAACCAUUCACCGUGUUUAGACACGUUGAAUGAUUCACCGUGUUCAACUUAACAAACUGACCCCAACCCCGCUGACGUGGCGCUUGCGUGGCAGGACUAGGACAAUUUUUACGAAUAUAAAUUUGUUGAAAUUAUUUUUAAAAUAAAUUUUUUUGAGGGGCCAAAUGCAAAAAAAAAAAACCCUAACUGUAUUUUCCAAUCAAUAUAGGCUCUAAACUGCUAAAGAUAAUUUGUGAUUUGUCAGUUCCAUUUUCAGUUUAAUAGGAAGCACUUUGGGUGGAAUCACUGUUUCUCACAUCCUCUACACUGCCACCAUGAUGAGAGCCCUUUAAUCCCUUCAAAUUGAAAGCCCUGUUCCCUAUUAACUUGACAGAACCCCUCAUGCUACAGCUUUGUGAAAGAACUUGAUGUACUUUUUACUACUGUCAAACAGUAAAAAAGGCAUUAAAAAGAACACCAAUUACUCACAGUAGAAGCUAAACACACCCACCAAAGAGAAUCUGUACCUACCACAAAUAAAUGUGUUCAAAUGAAAAGGUACAAUGCAUGAAUAGUCUCUGUACUGUCCCAAUAUGGUGUGACUUGAUCCUUGCACUUUUCACUUAAACAUGCUAGCUGUUAACAUUUACAUAUCUUAUUACAUUCAUUCUAGUCACUGAAUCACAAUCAAACCAUUAGGUG